UAAGGAGUAAAGCUUUUAGCGCUUUAGGAAUGGCCUAUGUCCGAUUAGCUUGUUGGUAAGGUAAAGGCUUACCAAGGCGACGAUCGGUAGCUGGUCUGAGAGGAUGAUCAGCCAGACUGGGACUGAGACACGGCCCAGACUCCUACGGGAGGCAGCAGUAGGGAAUUUUCCACAAUGGGGGCAACCCUGAUGGAGCAACGCCGCGUGCAGGAUGAAGGCCUUCGGGUUGUAAACUGCUUUUAUAUGAGAAGAUUAUGACGGUAACAUAUGAAUAAGGGUCGGCUAACUCCGUGCCAGCAGCCGCCGUCAUACGGAGGACCCAAGCAUUAUCCGGAAUUACUGGGCGUAAAGAGUUGCGUAGGUGGCAUAGUAAGCGAAAUGUGAAAGCGUACAGCUCAACUGUAUAGACAUGUUUCGAACUGCUAAGCUUGAGGACGAGAGAGGUAGAUGGAAUUCCCAGUGUAGGAGUGAAAUCCGUAGAUAUUGGGAGGAACACCGAUGGCGUAGGCAGUCUACUGGCUCGUUUCUGACACUAAGGCACGAAAGCGUGGGGAGCAAACGGGAUUAGAUACCCCGGUAGUCCACGCCGUAAACUAUGGAUGCUAGCUGUUAUGCGUAUCGACCCGCGUAGUAGCGAAGCUAACGCGUUAAGCAUCCCGCCUGUGGGGUACGGUCGCAAGACUAAAACAUAAAGGAAUUGACGGGGACCCGCACAAGCGGUGGAGCGUGUUGUUUAAUUCGAUGAUAAGCGAAGAACCUUACCCAGGCUUGACAUCCUUGGAAGCACUGCGAAAGCAGAG
This 800-nucleotide ribosomal RNA is filed under the name uncultured Candidatus Saccharibacteria bacterium. RNAcentral's name for it is "bacterial SSU rRNA". It matches the Rfam family "Bacterial small subunit ribosomal RNA", at positions 195 to 1012 of the family's 1533-position model. The record is from RNAcentral. Lineage: Bacteria; Candidatus Saccharimonadota.